GACGAACGCUGGCGGCGUGCUUAACACAUGCAAGUCGAGCGGUAAGGCCCUUUCGGGGGUACACGAGCGGCGAACGGGUGAGUAACACGUGGGUGACCUGCCCUCAGCUCUGGGAUAAGCCCGGGAAACUGGGUCUAAUACUGGAUAUGACUCCACGGUGCAUGCCGUGGGGUGGAAAGCCUUGUGCGGCUGAGGAUGGGCCCGCGGCCUAUCAGCUUGUUGGUGGGGUGAUGGCCUACCAAGGCGACGACGGGUAGCCGGCCUGAGAGGGCGACCGGCCACACUGGGACUGAGACACGGCCCAGACUCCUACGGGAGGCAGCAGUGGGGAAUAUUGCGCAAUGGGCGGAAGCCUGACGCAGCGACGCCGCGUGGGGA
Molecule: ribosomal RNA, 378 nt
Filed under: uncultured bacterium
Lineage: Bacteria
Description: bacterial SSU rRNA
Rfam family: Bacterial small subunit ribosomal RNA
Source: RNAcentral